AACGAACGCUGGCGGCAUGCCUAACACAUGCAAGUCGAACGGGAUCCUAGCUUGCUAGGUGAGAGUGGCGGACGGGUGAGUAACACGUGGGAAUCUGCCUUUGGUUCGGGAUAACCGCGGGAAACUGCGGCUAAUACCGAAUGCCCUCGAGAGAGGAAAGAUUUAUCGCCAGAAGAGGAGCCCGCGUAACCGAUUAGGUAGUUGGUGGGGUAAAGGCCUACCAAGCCGACGAUCGGUAGCUGGUCUGAGAGGAUGAUCAGCCACACUGGGACUGAGAUACGGCCCAGACUCCUACGGGAGGCAGCAGUGGGGAAUAUUGGACAAUGGGCGAAAGCCUGAUCCAGCAAUGCCGCGUGAGUGAUGAAGGCCUUAGGGUUGUAAAGCUCUUUUACCCGGGAUGAUAAUGACAGUACCGGGAGAAUAAGCUCCGGCUAACUCCGUGCCAGCAGCCGCGGUAAU
This 459-nucleotide ribosomal RNA is filed under the name uncultured bacterium. RNAcentral describes it as "bacterial SSU rRNA". It matches the Rfam family "Bacterial small subunit ribosomal RNA", at positions 29 to 524 of the family's 1533-position model. The record is from RNAcentral.